Carica papaya (papaya) is the source of this 582-nucleotide non-coding RNA. Lineage: Eukaryota; Viridiplantae; Streptophyta; Magnoliopsida; Brassicales; Caricaceae. The record is from RefSeq and is a predicted model, not a curated record.
UUUCACUUUCAUACAUAAGAGAACAAGAAAUAAUAAUUUUCAUUUCUUAUUUGCUAACUAGUACCCUUAAGAGUCCAUAGGGGUGUCCCCCCUACUUGUGAACCCAAUAUCCAAUUUUACAAUUAACAGGUCGUCCAAAUACCCCAUCUGAUAAUGGGUGUCGUACAUUUCAUCAUCUCGAUACCCCCUCCAGUAUGAGGGUGAACCAUAUCACCCAAACCUUUAUGGUAAGGGACUUUCCAACCCCGUCCGACUGACGUAACGUUCACGGUAGGGUUCUCUAUGUAUCAGACUCAUCUGCCCUUUCCCUAGAUCGGUGUUUUGAGAUGUCGAGCUGUUUACUACGCCUCUUAACGGGUAUCAGGUUCCCUAAAUUUUUCUGUGCAAUUCAAAACACUUGUCAUAUAUCUAAAAAUAUUCGAAAAAUAUAAAAUUGGUGUCAAAAAUUCAUUACGACAAAUUUUGGAGUUUCGACGCCGGGUCCACCACCGUGCCUCAGCGUGACUGAUUUGGCCGAUUUUGAUUGUAUCCCUACAGAAAUUACGUCUAGGGCCUCGGUUGGCUGAAAAAUCAUAAAAAAAA